RNAcentral lists this ribosomal RNA (452 nucleotides) under uncultured Sphingobacteriales bacterium. RNAcentral describes it as "bacterial SSU rRNA". It matches the Rfam family "Bacterial small subunit ribosomal RNA", at positions 342 to 791 of the family's 1533-position model. Lineage: Bacteria; Pseudomonadati; Bacteroidota; Sphingobacteriia; Sphingobacteriales. The record is from RNAcentral.
CGGGGGGCAGCAGUAAGGAAUAUUGGACAAUGGUCGCAAGACUGAUCCAGCCAUGCCGCGUGAAGGAUGAAGGCCCUAUGGGUUGUAAACUUCUUUUGUACGGGAAAAAACCCCUCUACGUGUAGAGGGCUGAUUGUACCGUAAGAAUAAGGAUCGGCUAACUCCGUGCCAGCAGCCGCGGUAAUACGGAGGAUCCAAGCGUUAUCCGGAUUCAUUGGGUUUAAAGGGUGCGUAGGCGGAAUGAUAAGUCAGUGGUGAAAGCCUGCAGCUUAACUGCAGAACUGCCAUUGAUACUGUCAAUCUUGAGUAUAUUUGAUGUGGGCGGAAUGUGUCAUGUAGCGGUGAAAUGCUUAGAUAUGACACAGAACACCGAUUGCGAAGGCAGCUCACAAAACUAUAACUGACGCUGAGGCACGAAAGCGUGGGUAUCAAACAGGAUUAGAUACCCGAGU